GGGAAUGUGGCUUAGUGGUAGAGUGUUUGCCUAGUAUGCAUGAAGCCCUGGUUCAAUUCCUCAGUUCUA
Molecule: transfer RNA, 69 nt
Filed under: Dipodomys ordii (Ord's kangaroo rat)
Lineage: Eukaryota; Metazoa; Chordata; Mammalia; Rodentia; Heteromyidae
Rfam family: tRNA
About the family: Transfer RNA (tRNA) molecules are approximately 80 nucleotides in length.
Source: Rfam by way of RNAcentral